CCACAAAUUAAGGCAAAAGAGCUUAUGAUAAACUCACAAUGCAAAUUACUAAAUUUGCUAGCAAACAAAAAUAGCAACGAAAAUCGAGCUAACAUGCAUGGAUACAAUACAUUAGAUAUAUGACUCGUUUCUUCUUCUCCAGUAAUUUAUCUCCUUCUCAAUUAUAAGUUAUGUAAAAAUCAUCUAUACAAAAUUCGUUAGAAAUUCUACAAAUGCAAGUAAAAUUACUCUAUACAUGAUGACAGAAGAAGUUAUGUGUUCCUCAAAGUUGG
This 272-nucleotide long non-coding RNA is filed under the name Panax ginseng (ginseng). Its description in RNAcentral is "long non-coding RNA (PGIN_LNC002272)". Lineage: Eukaryota; Viridiplantae; Streptophyta; Magnoliopsida; Apiales; Araliaceae. The record is from RNAcentral.